RNAcentral lists this ribosomal RNA (496 nucleotides) under uncultured bacterium. RNAcentral's name for it is "bacterial SSU rRNA". It matches the Rfam family "Bacterial small subunit ribosomal RNA", at positions 21 to 507 of the family's 1533-position model. The record is from RNAcentral.
GGCUCAGGAUGAACGCUAGCGGCAGGCUUAACACAUGCAAGUCGAGGGGCAGCAUGAGGGUUAGCAAUAACUCUUGAUGGCGACCGGCGCAAGGGUGCGUAACGCGUGAGCAACUUGCCCGUUUCUGGGGAAUAACCGGUGGAAACGCCGACUAAUACCCCAUGGCAUCACAUCAAGGCAUCUUUUUGUGAUUAAAGAAAUUCGGAUAAGGAUAGGCUCGCGUGACAUUAGCUAGACGGCGGGGUAACGGCCCACCGUGGCUACGAUGUCUAGGGGUUCUGAGAGGAAGGUCCCCCACACUGGAACUGAGACACGGUCCAGACUCCUACGGGAGGCAGCAGUGAGGAAUAUUGGUCAAUGGUCGGAAGACUGAACCAGCCAAGUAGCGUGAAGGAUGAAGGUUCUAUGGAUUGUAAACUUCUUUUAUACGGGAAUAAAACCGCCUACGUGUAGGUGCUUGUAUGUACCGUAUGGAUAAGCAUCGGCUAACUCCGUG